RNAcentral lists this ribosomal RNA (465 nucleotides) under uncultured bacterium. RNAcentral's name for it is "partial 16S ribosomal RNA". It matches the Rfam family "Bacterial small subunit ribosomal RNA", at positions 28 to 507 of the family's 1533-position model. The record is from RNAcentral.
GACGAACGCUGGCGGCGUGCUUAACACAUGCAAGUCGAACGGAAAGGCCCCCUUGUGGGGUACUCGAGUGGCGAACGGGUGAGUAACACGUGAGUAACCUACCCUUGACUUUUGGAUAACUUCAGGAAACUGGGGCUAAUACCGGAUAGGAGCUCCUGCUGCAUGGUGGGGGUUGGAAAGUUUCGGCGGUUGGGGAUGGACUCGCGGCUUAUCAGCUUGUUGGUGGGGUAGUGGCUCACCAAGGCUUUGACGGGUAGCCGGCCUGAGAGGGUGACCGGCCACAUUGGGACUGAGAUACGGCCCAGACUCCUACGGGAGGCAGCAGUGGGGAAUAUUGCACAAUGGGCGGAAGCCUGAUGCAGCAACGCCGCGUGCGGGAUGACGGCCUUCGGGUUGUAAACCGCUUUCGCCUGUGACGAAGCGUGAGUGACGGUAAUGGGUAAAGAAGCACCGGCUAACUACGUG